RNAcentral lists this non-coding RNA (30 nucleotides) under Mus musculus (house mouse). The record is from RNAcentral. Lineage: Eukaryota; Metazoa; Chordata; Mammalia; Rodentia; Muridae.
UAGGCAGGGAUUGGGGCUUCUUACAGUGUU